AAUGAACGCUGGCGGCGUGCUUUACACAUGCAAGUCGAGCGAGGCGUGUAGCAAUACACAGUCGAGCGGCGAACGGGUGAGUAACACGUGGAUUAUCUACCCUAAGGUGGGGAACAACCCGGGGAAACUCGGGCUGAUACCGCAUGAUACCGAAAGGUCAAAGGGGCUCGCAAGGGCUUCCGCCAUAGGGGGAGCCUGCGCCGAUUAGCUAGUUGGUAGGUAAUGGCCUACCAAGGCGACGAUCGGUAGCCGGCCUGAGAGGGUGAUCGGCCACACUGGAACUGAGACACGGUCCAGACUCCUACGGGAGGCAGCAGGUGGGGAAUUUUGCGCAAGUGGGCUAACGCCUGACGCAGCAACGCCGCGUGGAGGAUGAAGGUCCUU
This 384-nucleotide ribosomal RNA is filed under the name uncultured bacterium. RNAcentral describes it as "bacterial SSU rRNA". It matches the Rfam family "Bacterial small subunit ribosomal RNA", at positions 29 to 419 of the family's 1533-position model. The record is from RNAcentral.